GUGCUUGUUCCAUCAGCACAUACACUAAAAUCAGAAUGAUAAAGACAAGAAUAGUAUGCCCCUUGAGAAAGGAUGAUGCAGAUUUUAUCAAGCAUUCCACAUUUAA
Molecule: small nuclear RNA, 106 nt
Organism: Peromyscus maniculatus bairdii (prairie deer mouse)
Lineage: Eukaryota; Metazoa; Chordata; Mammalia; Rodentia; Cricetidae
Source: Ensembl